This is an RNA transcript of Pezoporus occidentalis (night parrot), 1754 nucleotides long. RefSeq lists it as uncharacterized. The record is from RefSeq and is a predicted model, not a curated record. The transcript is spliced from 2 exons. NCBI's taxonomy places the organism in Eukaryota, Metazoa, Chordata, Aves, Psittaciformes, Psittacidae.
UUGUAACUUGUCCAAUCGAGGCCUGUUGCCUGCAGCCAACAGCAAAGGAAGAAGGAAACAGGGACACCAGAACCUAUGGUGACGGAGGUUGUAGAAGCACAAGGAGAGAGCCUGUGCCAUCCCCUGCCGUGCCAGCAUGCCCCCACCCCUUCCUCCUGGGGACCCCUGCUGCUUGCCCCGCUGCUCUCGGAGCAACUGAGAGAUCCCAUUCCUUUGGGGAGCCUGCAGCACAAGUGUCUGCCCAGGUUAGAACAGAGGCCAGUCUUUAUUUCUCCCCUUCCCAGGCGGUCGCUUUCCCCUGGCCAGAUGCUAGAUUCAAAUGCGGGGCUGGAUACUGCAGCCCAGUGCUGCGGCGCCCACACUGUGACCAUCUGUGCACAUGUGUGCAUGCACAUGUGUGUGAGCGUCUGCUGGGAGGGCAUGUGCAGCCCGGCUUCUGUUCGGUCCUAGGGUGGGAGCUAUGGCAGUUGCUCCCACCCCAGACUCUCAAUUGCUCCCAAGGAACAGGCAAACCCCACAGGGAGACUCUGACAGACGGUACCAUUGCUCCUGUUCGUACACCAGCAGUGACGCCCCAUUUCCCUGGUGGCUAUGGCUGGGCCCCACCUCAACUCCUGGAACCGGCCCCAGGGAGGUGAUGUCACUAUGGGCCUGUGACAUGGGUACAAAGCUGGGCUGCUGCUGGAGGUGGGGCAGUAUCUGGAGAAGAACCUCGGUGCUGCUGGGCAGGAGCUCAGAGAGCAAUUGCCAAUAACCUGUUCUGUGCCCUCCCUGCAGUGGAAGGGCGCAAGCGCAGGAGAAGAGGAUCUGUGACUGACAUUCCCCUGGCCGUGCCCCUCAAACCCUCUUAGUUCCCAACACAGGGGUGCAGCCAUGCAGGCAGAAGAGGUGCAGGAAGAUCUCUGUGUGCUGCAGGAGCGCCUGGCACAGUGUUCUGCAGAGGCACAAAGGCACAAGAAGCUGCUGGGAUUUGUGAGGCGGCAGUGGUCAGAGCUGGCAGGAGCUGUUCUGGAGCAGGCUGAGGUCAAGAAGGUACUGGGGACAGGAGGGACAAGGGCUCAACAUUACUGUGGGGGGAAGCCACACCCAAGCAGGCAUGGCAUGGACUCCUGACUGGGCCCUUUGCUUUUCCAGCUGCUCAGGAACAGGCUCAAGCUCCUCCGGCAGAAAUGUGAAGGUUUCCAAGAGCCAGCAGCUUCAUGGACAAGGAGGAAUAAGACCAUUUCUUGGCUGCAGUGAGUUGCCCUGGGGUCCAGGGCUCUUCCAUAGGUGGUGGGAUGUCCAUGCCAGAGGUCCAAGAGCAUUAGGCAGCUUUGGACUUGUCCGGGAUCAAGUGUUUCAGUCUUUCUGUUCUUCCUAACUUGGGGGGCAUGUAGGGGGAGAUUCUGGGACACACUGGCAACACCAACAGCGGAGUUGAAACAGAUGCUCAGACCCCCUCAUCCCAGUCCUGCGUGUAGCCUGUUGUGCCCAGCAUAGUACAAGGUCCCACUGUGGUGUUCAAAGAGGGUGCUUGGAAACAGCUGAGACAAAUUUGGCUUCUGCUCUGCCUGACCCCUCUUCUAUCCCACAGGAGGCUUUGUGUGUUCCUCUUGUUGCUGCAGAUAGUCACCUUCGUGGUGCUGCUGACGAGCGAUGGCCUUAACUGGGUCCUGCCACCAAAGCUGGGGGCUGCCCUUGGGAGCUGCCCAGCGAGGGCCUGGUUCUUUUGAAAUCCAACUAGAAAGAGAAUAAAGAAACUUGGGAUUGUAGGA